GCAUAUCAAUAAGCGGAGGAAAAGAAAACCAACAGGGGAUUGCCCUAGUAACGGCGAGUGAAGCGGCAACAGCUCAAAUUUGAAAUCUGGCCCUUUUAGGGUCCGAGUUGUAAUUUGCAGAGGGCGCUUUGGCGUUGGCAGCGGUCCAAGUUCUUUGGAACAGGACGUCACAGAGGGUGAGAAUCCCGUACGUGGUCGCUAGCCUUGGCCGUGUAAAGCCCCUUCGACGAGUCGAGUUGUUUGGGAAUGCAGCUCUAAAUGGGAGGUAAAUUUCUUCUAAAGCUAAAUACUGGCCAGAGACCGAUAGCGCACAAGUAGAGUGAUCGAAAGAUGAAAAGCACUUUGGAAAGAGAGUCAAAUAGCACGUGAAAUUGUUGAAAGGGAAGCGCUUGCAGCCAGACUUGCCUGUAGUUGCUUAUCCGGACUUUUGUCCGGUGCACUCUUCUGCGGGCAGGCCAGCAUCAGUUUAGGCGGUUGGAUAAAGGUCUCUAUCACGUACCUCCCUUCGGGGUUGGCCUUAUAGGGGAGACGACAUGCAACCAGCCUGAACUGAGGUCCGCGCAUCUGCUAGGAUGCUGGCGUAAUGGCUGUAAGCGGCCCGUCUUGAAACACGGACCAAGGAGUCUAACAUCUAUGCGAGUGUUUGGGUGUCAAGCCCAGACGCGUAAUGAAAGUGAACGGAGGUGGGAACCUUUUAGGUGCACCAUCGACCGAUCCUGAUGUCUUCGGAUGGAUUUGAGUAAGAGCAUGGCUGUUGGGACCCGAAAGAUGGUGAACUAUGCUUGAAUAGGGUGAAGCCAGAGGAAACUCUGGUGGAGGCUCGCAGCGGUUCUGACGUGCAAAUCGAUCGUCAAAUUUGGGCAUAGGGGCGAAAGACUAAUCGAACUAUCUAGUAGCUGGUUCCUGCCGA
RNAcentral lists this ribosomal RNA (910 nucleotides) under Septoriella poae. RNAcentral's name for it is "LSU rRNA". It matches the Rfam family "Eukaryotic large subunit ribosomal RNA", at positions 38 to 964 of the family's 3401-position model. Lineage: Eukaryota; Fungi; Ascomycota; Dothideomycetes; Pleosporales; Phaeosphaeriaceae. The record is from RNAcentral.